AACGAACGCUGGCGGCAUGCCUAACACAUGCAAGUCGAACGAGACCUUCGGGUCUAGUGGCGCACGGGUGCGUAACGCGUGGGAACCUGCCCUUAGGUUCGGAAUAACUCCCCGAAAGGGGUGCUAAUACCGGAUAAUGUCUUCGGACCAAAGAUUUAUCGCCUUUGGAUGGGCCCGCGUUGGAUUAGCUAGUUGGUAGGGUAAAAGCCUACCAAGGCGACGAUCCAUAGCUGGUCUGAGAGGAUGAUCAGCCACACUGGGACUGAGACACGGCCCAGACUAAUACGGGAGGAAGCAGUGGGGAAGAUUGGAGAAGGGGCGAAAGCCUGAACCAGCUAUGACGCGGGAGUGAUGAAGGACUUAGGGUGGUAAAGCUCUUUGACCCGGGAGGAUAAGGAGAGGACCGGGAGAAUAAGCACCGGCUAACUCCGUG
This 433-nucleotide ribosomal RNA is filed under the name uncultured bacterium. RNAcentral describes it as "partial 16S ribosomal RNA". It matches the Rfam family "Bacterial small subunit ribosomal RNA", at positions 29 to 507 of the family's 1533-position model. The record is from RNAcentral.